GAUGAACGCUAGCGGCAGGCUUAAUACAUGCAAGUCGAGGGGCAACAGGGGUAGCAAUACCUGCUGGCGACCGGCAAACGGGUGCGGAACACGUACAGAACCUUCCUUUAAGCGGGGGAUAGCCCAUAGAAAUGUGGAUUAAUACCCCAUAGUAAUGUUUAAUGGCAUCAUUAGAUAUUUAAAGAUUUAUCACUUAAAGAUGGCUGUGCGGCUGAUUAGGUAGUUGGUGUGGGAACGGCCCACCAAGCCAGCGAUCAGUAACUGGUGUGAGAGCACGACCAGUCACACGGGCACUGAGACACGGGCCCGACUCCGUACGGGAGCAGCAGUAAGGAAUAUUGGUCAAUGGACGCAAGUCUGAACCAGCCAUGCCGCGUGAAGGAUGGAA
RNAcentral lists this ribosomal RNA (388 nucleotides) under uncultured bacterium. RNAcentral's name for it is "bacterial SSU rRNA". It matches the Rfam family "Bacterial small subunit ribosomal RNA", at positions 28 to 413 of the family's 1533-position model. The record is from RNAcentral.